This 373-nucleotide long non-coding RNA is filed under the name Cricetulus griseus (Chinese hamster). RNAcentral's name for it is "lncRNA (ENSCGRG00000025771.1)". The record is from RNAcentral. Lineage: Eukaryota; Metazoa; Chordata; Mammalia; Rodentia; Cricetidae.
AUGUUUAUCCUCGGAAAUGGAGCAAGUGAUGAAUACUAUUACAUUACAGUAUUAGAUGCUACUGUGCUUUAUUUUCUAUAUAGGUAUCAUGACAUGCCAGAUGUCAUUGAUUUCCUUGUGUUACAUCAGUUUUAUAAUGAAGCCAAAGAAAGAAACUGGCAGAUUGGUGAUAGAUUCCGCAGUAUAAUAGAUGAUGCCUGGUGGUUUGGAACUGUGGAAAGUCAGCAGCCUUUUCAGCCAGAAUAUCCUGAUAGCUCUUUCCAGUGUUACAGUGUUCAGUAAGUAUAGCUCAUUCGUGACUCUGAUAAAUACUGUCUCUUUAUAUCAACUUUUUUCACAUAAACAUUGUUUUCUAAAUAGAUCAUUGUAUUCU